RNAcentral lists this ribosomal RNA (444 nucleotides) under uncultured bacterium. Its description in RNAcentral is "bacterial SSU rRNA". It matches the Rfam family "Bacterial small subunit ribosomal RNA", at positions 331 to 792 of the family's 1533-position model. The record is from RNAcentral.
CCAGACUCCUACGGGAGGCAGCAGUGGGGAAUAUUGCACAAUGGGGGAAACCCUGAUGCAGCGACGCCGCGUGAGCGAUGAAGUAUUUCGGUAUGUAAAGCUCUAUCAGCAGGGAAGAAAAUGACGGUACCUGACUAAGAAGCCCCGGCUAACUACGUGCCAGCAGCCGCGGUAAUACGUAGGGGGCAAGCGUUAUCCGGAUUUACUGGGUGUAAAGGGAGCGUAGACGGUCCUGCAAGCCAGAUGUGAAAGCCCGGGGCUCAACCCCGGGACUGCAUUUGGAACUGUAAGGCUGGAGUGCGGGAGGGGCAGGCGGAAUUCCUGGUGUAGCGGUGAAAUGCGUAGAUAUCAGGAGGAACACCGGCGGCGAAGGCGGCCUGCUGGACCGCGACUGACGUUGAGGCUCGAAAGCGUGGGGAGCAAACAGGAUUAGAUACCCCAGUA